RNAcentral lists this small nuclear RNA (101 nucleotides) under Vicugna pacos (alpaca). Lineage: Eukaryota; Metazoa; Chordata; Mammalia; Artiodactyla; Camelidae. The record is from RNAcentral.
GUGCUCGCUUUGGCAGCACAUAUACUAAAAUUGGAACGAUAAGAUUAGCAUGGCCCCUGCACAAGGAUGACAUGCAAACUCGUGAAGCAUUCCAUAUUUAA